Molecule: ribosomal RNA, 302 nt
Filed under: uncultured Bolidomonas
Lineage: Eukaryota; Bolidophyceae
Description: partial Bacterial small subunit ribosomal RNA
Rfam family: Bacterial small subunit ribosomal RNA
Source: RNAcentral
CUUGCGCUAUUGGAUGUGCCUAUGUCGGAUUAGCUAGUUGGUGGGGUAAGAGCCUACCAAGGCGACGAUCCGUAGCUGGUCUGAGAGGAUGAUCAGCCACACUGGGACUGAGACACGGCCCAGACUCCUACGGGAGGCAGCAGUGGGGAAUCUUGCACAAUGGGCGAAAGCCUGAUGCAGCCAUGCCGCGUGAAUGAUGAAGGCCUUAGGGUUGUAAAGCUCUUUUACCAGGGAUGAUAAUGACAGUACCUGGAGAAUAAGCUCCGGCUAACUCCGUGCCAGCAGCCGCGGUAAUACGGAGG